Molecule: long non-coding RNA, 2676 nt
Organism: Numida meleagris (helmeted guineafowl)
Lineage: Eukaryota; Metazoa; Chordata; Aves; Galliformes; Numididae
Source: Ensembl
CGUGCCCCUCUGUCACCCCCAAAAUGGGCAUUUCUCGCCCCAUUUUAGCUCCAAACCAGCUUCCCCUGCCCCACUUCCACCCCAAGACGGGGUUUUCCGCCCCAUUUUCACCUCCCCAUAGCACCCCCCGUCCCAUUUUCGCCCUAAAAUGAGGCUUCCAGCUGUGACCACCCCCCAUAAGCAGCAUUUCCUGCCCCAUUUUCUCCCCAGUCGGCGCCUCCCGCCCCAUUCCCAUAAGAAAAAUUGGGAUUUCCGCUGCAAAACGGGCUCUUUCACCCUGUUUUCACCCCAAACUGGAAUUCCUCACACCACUUACACCCCAAAAUCGCAUUUCUUGACCCGUUUUCAGCCCCAAACCGGAUUUCACCACCCGAUUUCCACCAAAAAAAGCAGGUUUUCCGCCCGACUUCCACCAAAAAAUGGCUAUUUUUCCCCAUUUCCACCCCAAACCUAGAUUCUUCACGCCAUUUCCCCCCAAAAUCGUGGGGAUUUUUGCCCCGUUUCCACCAAAAUGAGGCUUGCCCGUUUUAUCCCUACCCCCCCCAAUUGGCUCUUCCAUCCCAUUUUCACCCCAAGCCGCAAUUCUUCACCCCAUCUGCAGCCGAAAAUCGCAUUUUUCACCACGUUCUGCCCCACUCUUACCCCAAAAUGGGAUUUUUUUACCCCAUUUUCAGCCGAAAAUCGGCCCCAUUUUUACCCCCAAAGAAUUUCUUUCCCCAUCCACUCGCAUCACAGCAGACCUCCAAUUAACAACCAUUAAUUAAGCGGCGUCCCCGCUCUCGCCAUCGCAACGCAAACCCCUCAGGAUGGGAAAUUCCACCAUGGCCGAGUUGGUUUUUCCCAUUUUUUCCCCCCAAUUUUUUCCUCAAGUUUUCCUUUUUUUCCUACAUUUUCCUUCCUGCGCCAUUUUCCUCUUUCCCAACCUUUUCCUCCCCGAUUUUUUCCCUUUUCCCGGCUUUUUCCCCUCGUUUCCGUCCUCUUUUGUCUCCACGUCCACCCUCUUCUCCAACCUCUUCGUCUUCGACUUUUUCAGCGUCAUCUUCCCCUUUUCUUUCCCAACUUUUCCCUUUUCCCAAAGUUUUCCCAUUAUUUCUCCUCACCAACUUUGCCUUUUUGUCCAACUUCUUCCCCAUUUUUGUGCCCAACCUCUCUGUCUUCUCUGCCAUCUCUUAGAGCUCAUCUUUCCCAUUUCCUUCCCAACUUUUCCCAUUUCCUUCCCAACUUUUCCCCAUUUUCCUUCCCAACUUUUCCCCAUUUUCUUCCCCAACUUUUUCCCACUUUCUUUCCCAACUUUUCCCAUUUUCUUUCCCAACUUUUCCCUUUCCCAUCGCCUCCUCCAACCUCCUCAAUGGGUGAAGCCCCUCUCAGGAUUUCCUUCUUUCUCAUUUCUUUCCCAACUUUUUCCUUCCCAACAUUCCCAUUUUCCCAAAGGUUUCCCAUUAUUUUUUCCUCUUCCACCCUCUUCAACGCGUCCCCUUUCCCCUUUUCCUUCCCAACUUUUCUCUUCUCCAAUUUCCUCAAUGGGAGAAGCAGCUCCCAUAGUUUCCUUCUUGCCCAUUUCCUUCCCAACUUUUCCCAGAGUUUUCCCAUUAUUUCUCCUCACCAACUUUCCCUUUUUGUCCAACUUCUUCCCCAUUUUUGUGCCCAACCUCUCUGUCUUCUCUGCCAUCUCUUAGAGCUCAUCUUUCCCAUUUUCUUUCCCAACUUUUUCCCAUUUUCUUUCCCAACUUUUCCCAUUUUCUUUCCCAACUUUUCCCAUUUUCUUUCCCAACUUUUCCCAUUUUCUUUCCCAACUUUUCCCCAAUUUCUUCCCCAACUUUUCCCUUUCCCAUCGCCUCCUCCCACCUCCUCAAUGGGUGAAGGCCCUCUCAAGAUUUCCUUCUUUCCCAUUUCUUUCCUUUUUCCUUCCAAACUUCCCCCUUUUCCCAAAGGUUUCCCAUUAUUUUCCUUUUCCACCCUCUUCAACGCGUCCCCCUUUUCCUUCCCAACUUUUCCCUUAUCCCAACAUUUCCCUUCUCGUAUUUCCACAAUAGGAGAAGCAGCUCCCAUAGUUUCCUUCUUGCCCAUUUCCUUCCCAAUUUUUCCCAAAGGUUUCCCAUUAUUUCUCUGGUUUCUCUGCCAUCUCCCAGAGCUCAUCUUUCCCAUUUCCUUCUCAACUUUUCCCUUUUCCCCAACAUUUCCCAGCAUUUCCCUUUCCCAUCCUCUCCUGUAACUCCUCCAUCAGCCGAAGCCACUCUCACCGUUUCCUUCUUUCCCCUUUUCCUUCCCAACUUUCGCCUUUUCCCAAAGUUUUCCCAUUAUUUCUCCUCACCAACUUUGCCUUUUUGUCCAACUUCUUCCCCAUCUUUGUGCCCAACCUCUUUGUCUUCUCUGCCGUCUCUUAGGACUCAACUUUUCCCGUCUUCUUUCCCAUCUUUUCCCGUCUUCUUUCCCACCUUUUCCCGUCUUCUUUCCCAACUUUUCCCACCGCCUCCUCCAACCCGCUCUCACCGUUUCCUUCUUUCCCUUUUCCCUCCCAACUUCCCCCUUUUCCCGCAGUUUUCCCCCCUUUUCCUGCUCCAUCUUUCUCCUCCUGUCCAUCAUCCCUGCCCUCCUUCCCCUCCUUUCUGUCCUCUCAGUCUGAUCCUUCCCGCUUUGUUUCCCACAUUUUUCCUUUCCCCUUUUCCCUCCCUCCCC